CUGACUAAUCUAAUUUAUAAAAUCAAAAAAAAAAUUAAAUUUUAAAAAAUAAAAAAAAAAAUUAUAAUUUUAUUUUAUAUAAAUAUAAAAGUUUAAAAAAAUAAAAAUAAAUAAAUUUAAAGUAAGUUUCAUUAACUUUACCUUUUGUAUCAGGGAUAUUCCAAAUUUAAUUUUAAAUUUAAAUCCCGAAAAAUAAAGAAAUAAGAUUUUAAAUUAAUAUUUUAUAUCAAAAAGAUAAUUAAUAAAAUCUUAGAUACUAAAUAUAAACAAAUUAUUAAUAUCUGGUUAUUGGAAAAUUUUUUUAAAAAAAUUAAUAGUUUAAACCCAUUAAAUUUUAAUUUAAUAUAACUAUUUAAAAACAUUAAAGGAUAAUCUAUAAUGUUAAAUAAACUAAAGACUAAAAAAUAAAAAAUUAAUUUUAACAUUUUAUAUAUAAACAAUUUAUAACUAAUGAUUUAUAGAUAAAUUUUUAAAAUAAAGGAGUUAUAGAAAAUAAACCAUAUAAAAAAUAUAUAACAAAAAAAUUUUAAAUAAUAUGAAUAUAUGAAUAUACCAAUUAAAUAUUUAAUAAUAAUUAGGCAAAUAAAUUUUUUAACUGUUUAACAAAGACAUAACUUAAAGAAAUAAAUUUUAGGCAAUUUCUGCUCAAUGACAAAUAAAUAGCUGCAAUAUAUUAAUUGUACUAAGGUAGCAUAAUAAAUUGUUUUUUAAUUAAAAAAUAGAAUGAAAGAAAAAAUAAAAAAUAACUAUUUAUUAAAAUUAAAUUAAAAAUUAAUUUUAAAGUAAAAAAUCUUUAAUAAACAAAAAAGACAAGAAGACCCUUUAGAAUUUUAUAAAACAAUUUAUUAUAUUGGGGAGAUAACAAAAUUUAAAAAACUUUUGUUAAAAAAAAACUAAUAAGUAAAAAAAAUAGAUUAACCAUGACAUUUAAAAAAAAAUAAAUUACCUAAGGGAUAACAGUGCAAAAUUAUUUUAAAGAUCAAAUUUUAAAUAUAAAUUGCAACCUCGAUGUUGGAUUAAGAAAAUUAACUAAAGCAAAAUUUAGAAAAAUAGGUCUGUUCGACCUUUAAAAUCUUACAUGAUCUGAGUUCAGACCGGCGUAAGCCAGGUCAGUUUAUAUCUUUUAAAAAAAUUUUAAAAGUACGAAAGGAAUAUAAAAUUUAAACAAUUU
This 1171-nucleotide ribosomal RNA is filed under the name Vasdavidius concursus. RNAcentral describes it as "ribosomal RNA large subunit". Lineage: Eukaryota; Metazoa; Arthropoda; Insecta; Hemiptera; Aleyrodidae. The record is from RNAcentral.